Equus asinus (donkey) is the source of this 2580-nucleotide long non-coding RNA. The record is from Ensembl. NCBI's taxonomy places the organism in Eukaryota, Metazoa, Chordata, Mammalia, Perissodactyla, Equidae.
CUGGCUCUAGCCACACACAGAAAGAUUCUUGGGCUCAGGCAAUCCUCACCCUGCUGGAGCUGAGUUUUCCUGCCUUCAGUGGGAGAUGACCAACAUUUGAAGAAGCCAAAGGAGACAUGUCAACUUCUAGGGGGCUGGACACCCAUCAGGGUAGGGACAUUUCUGCUUAGUAUCGGAAACUAGGCCUUUGCUUAGUGUUCUAAAAUCAUCUGGGUGAAUACAACUUUAUUAUAUUUUCUAUAAAAUGGCAUGUUGCAUUUAUUUAAAUUUGCAGGCAAGGAAACGGGCAUAGCUGUCCCUAGUGAUUAAAUAAUAACAAUUGUGCAUAGAUCAGGACUCCUUAAAUCUUAAACAAACAAAACACCAAAAAACCCCCACCUCAUCCCAAACAUACUUUUCUCUAAAUCUUGAAGUCAUUGCCAGGCAUGGCUGUGAUAACGAUGGCCAAGAGGGGGAGGUGGGACCUCCAUUUGGAAUCCAGGCAAACCACACACACACGUGGGGUGGGAAUUCGGAAAGGGGAAAUAGCCAGGAGAGAUGUCCCUUAACGAGAGACCCACUGGGCUCCAAGCUCUGUAGUUAGAUCCUAAUUGACUACAGGGACCCCAACUCAUAGACUCAACAUUUUGGUCCUACUUACUUAUUGCUUGCUUAUUUCCCUAGACUUUUCCCGACACAUUUUCUUUACCAGCUUGGGAAAGGAACUCCCCCCUCUCUGUCACUCUGGGACAUUCCUGUCUGGAUAACUGGACUCCGGCUGCAGAUAUACCAAAAUGACUGUGGCAUUAAUUUCCUUGGAGAGCAUGCUUUCACCAGAGGCUUUAUUAAUAUUUGCCACCCUGGAGUCAUUCACCCCAUUUGGCCCUGUAUAUAAACAAUAAUGCCUACUGCUGGCUGGAAAAUAAACCGUGUGAAUUGGCAUGUUUUUCAAUGAGAGGUCAUCGAGAACAGCACUGGCAAUGGCCCAUUGUAUCCCCCAGACCUUUCGUUUAGGGGCCAAGCAGAGGCAAUGAUGUCUAACAGACGCACCAUUAGGCAAGACCUACAUCUGAAAGCUUUGUUGAUUCAGACGCUCAGUAAUUAAGUUGUGGGCCAGCAAGCACAUUAUCUGCAUUCAAACAUGUCCCUGAUCAGCGAUUAGAUGGGCAAACAUGUGACCUCAUUGUCUCUGACGAAGGAUGAUUGUGUAACAGUCUCUUGUCCUCGGACAUCAUGGUUAUUUGCCAACUUUUGAUCCCAGUAAAGAAGCUGAAAUCACUUGCUGCGGUUCUGGGAAUCAGAUUUUUAGGACAACUGACUCUUCCUUGGGAGGCUUGAUGCAUUCGACCUGAUUACUGAUGCACUGGAAACUCUACAGAGACCCAGACACAAGCUGUAAUGCAGAUGUAAUUGUUGGAGCAGGAGUGGCCGUCUUGGACCAUGAGGUGGCAGCUGUGUGUUGAUAGGACCCUAGGUCCAUAAAAUCACCAUACUAGACUUGGACUGCCUACAUUUCUGAGCAUGUGGUGGUCACUGAAGUACAAGACAGCCAGUGGGGCUCACCAUCCAGCAAGUUUCAGUGCACCCCUGUUGCCUCUUUCCCAGGAAGUUCCACCAGCAUCUCAACAGGUCUCACGAGGCUGAAAUCAAGGUGUUGGCUGUCCUGAGCUCAUUUUUGGAGGUUCUGGAGAAGAAUCUGCUUCCAAGCUCAUUCGGGUUGUUGGAAGAAUCCAGUUCCUUGUAAUUACAGGGUUGAGGUCCCCACGUCCUUGCUGGCUGUCACUUGGGAAACUCUCUCAGCUCCUUAAGGCCAUCUACAUCCCUCAUCAUGUUGCUUCCUCCAUCUUCAUUCCGGUGAUGGUGCGUAGAGUCCUUCUGAUGCUUCAAGUCUCUGCGACUUCCCCUUUUACAGUAUCUUUUCUGUCUCCAGCCAGAGAAAGUUCUCUGCUUUUAAGGACUCAGGUGAUUAGCUUGGACCCACCUGGUUAAUCCAGAAUAACCUCCCAAUUUUAAGGCCCGAAGCCUUAAUCACACCUGCAAAGCCCCUUUUGCCAUGUCAGGUAACAUCAUCAGAGGUUCCAGGGAUCAGGACAUAGACAUCUUUGGGGGGACAUUCUACCUACCACAGCAAUCCUCUGGUCAGUCUUAGCCAAAGACUCCAAAGAUGAGGUUUCCUACCACUUCUAUUAAACUCUGGCUAUUUGGGUUCCUGGGGGUACCUAGAGGACACUGAUCAUUUUAAUUUAUAGAUCAUCAGGAAAUUGUACAGUGCUAUAGACUGAAUGUUUGUGUUCCCCCAAAGUUCGGGUGUUGAAGCCCUAAGCCCCAGUGUGAUGGUAUUAGGAGGUGAGGCCUUUGGGAGGUAAUUAGGUUUAAAUGAGGUCACGAGGGUGGAGCCCCCACGAUGGGACUAGUGUCCACAUAAGAAGAGAAAGAGACCCCAGAGCUUCCUCACUUAGCCACGUGAGGAUACAACAAGAAGAUGGCCUUUUGUAAGCUAGGAAGAGAGUUCUGAUUAGGAACUGAAUCUGCCGGCACCUUGAUCUUGGACUCCCCAGCCUCCAGAACUGUGAAAAAUAAAUGUCUGUUGUUUAAGCCGCC